RNAcentral lists this ribosomal RNA (1550 nucleotides) under Klebsiella pneumoniae. Its description in RNAcentral is "bacterial SSU rRNA". It matches the Rfam family "Bacterial small subunit ribosomal RNA". The record is from RNAcentral. Lineage: Bacteria; Pseudomonadati; Pseudomonadota; Gammaproteobacteria; Enterobacterales; Enterobacteriaceae.
AAAUUGAAGAGUUUGAUCAUGGCUCAGAUUGAACGCUGGCGGCAGGCCUAACACAUGCAAGUCGAGCGGUAGCACAGAGAGCUUGCUCUCGGGUGACGAGCGGCGGACGGGUGAGUAAUGUCUGGGAAACUGCCUGAUGGAGGGGGAUAACUACUGGAAACGGUAGCUAAUACCGCAUAACGUCGCAAGACCAAAGUGGGGGACCUUCGGGCCUCAUGCCAUCAGAUGUGCCCAGAUGGGAUUAGCUAGUAGGUGGGGUAACGGCUCACCUAGGCGACGAUCCCUAGCUGGUCUGAGAGGAUGACCAGCCACACUGGAACUGAGACACGGUCCAGACUCCUACGGGAGGCAGCAGUGGGGAAUAUUGCACAAUGGGCGCAAGCCUGAUGCAGCCAUGCCGCGUGUGUGAAGAAGGCCUUCGGGUUGUAAAGCACUUUCAGCGGGGAGGAAGGCGGUGAGGUUAAUAACCUCAUCGAUUGACGUUACCCGCAGAAGAAGCACCGGCUAACUCCGUGCCAGCAGCCGCGGUAAUACGGAGGGUGCAAGCGUUAAUCGGAAUUACUGGGCGUAAAGCGCACGCAGGCGGUCUGUCAAGUCGGAUGUGAAAUCCCCGGGCUUAACCUGGGAACUGCAUUCGAAACUGGCAGGCUAGAGUCUUGUAGAGGGGGGUAGAAUUCCAGGUGUAGCGGUGAAAUGCGUAGAGAUCUGGAGGAAUACCGGUGGCGAAGGCGGCCCCCUGGACAAAGACUGACGCUCAGGUGCGAAAGCGUGGGGAGCAAACAGGAUUAGAUACCCUGGUAGUCCACGCCGUAAACGAUGUCGAUUUGGAGGUUGUGCCCUUGAGGCGUGGCUUCCGGAGCUAACGCGUUAAAUCGACCGCCUGGGGAGUACGGCCGCAAGGUUAAAACUCAAAUGAAUUGACGGGGGCCCGCACAAGCGGUGGAGCAUGUGGUUUAAUUCGAUGCAACGCGAAGAACCUUACCUGGUCUUGACAUCCACAGAACUUUCCAGAGAUGGAUUGGUGCCUUCGGGAACUGUGAGACAGGUGCUGCAUGGCUGUCGUCAGCUCGUGUUGUGAAAUGUUGGGUUAAGUCCCGCAACGAGCGCAACCCUUAUCCUUUGUUGCCAGCGGUCCGGCCGGGAACUCAAAGGAGACUGCCAGUGAUAAACUGGAGGAAGGUGGGGAUGACGUCAAGUCAUCAUGGCCCUUACGACCAGGGCUACACACGUGCUACAAUGGCAUAUACAAAGAGAAGCGACCUCGCGAGAGCAAGCGGACCUCAUAAAGUAUGUCGUAGUCCGGAUUGGAGUCUGCAACUCGACUCCAUGAAGUCGGAAUCGCUAGUAAUCGUAGAUCAGAAUGCUACGGUGAAUACGUUCCCGGGCCUUGUACACACCGCCCGUCACACCAUGGGAGUGGGUUGCAAAAGAAGUAGGUAGCUUAACCUUCGGGAGGGCGCUUACCACUUUGUGAUUCAUGACUGGGGUGAAGUCGUAACAAGGUAACCGUAGGGGAACCUGCGGUUGGAUCACCUCCUUACCUUAAAGAA